RNAcentral lists this small RNA (378 nucleotides) under Histoplasma ohiense. RNAcentral's name for it is "hypothetical lncRNA". The record is from RNAcentral. Lineage: Eukaryota; Fungi; Ascomycota; Eurotiomycetes; Onygenales; Ajellomycetaceae.
UAGAUUACCUUUUCCUGUGUGUACGCAUAUACAAGAGUGCAUCUCCUCUGCGGCCUACGUGGCUAUGGCCUUUUUAUUGGCUUGACUACUUUUUUCCUUUUUGGGUGUACAUGUUAUACAAGGAGCACACGCCCUAUACUUUUUUUUAAUCCAAUACCAGCCUUGAAGGAAGCUAUUGACAUGGAAUCCCUCAAGCCAGUCUUCGAGAACCCCUUUGAGCGCCCAUGCUGAGAGUGGCUUGUUCAACUUAGAGAGUUUGUGGGGGAGAGUACAUAUACAUACAUAUGAACUGUUUGAGCAAAUCACCAAGGCAGAUUUCUGUCCACAACAUAUCAGUAACAACAUCGGUUGAUUCCGGGAUUGGGUAACCUGAGGAGC